UACGUAGGUGGCAAGCGUUGUCCGGAUUUAUUGGGUUUAAAGGGUGCGUAGGCGGCCCCGUAAGUCAGUGCUGAAAUAUCCCGGCUUAACCGGGAGGGUGGCAUUGAUACUGCAGGGCUUGAGUAAAGUUGAGGUAGGCGGAAUUGACGGUGUAGCGGUGAAAUGCUUAGAUAUCGUUAAGAACACCGAUAGUGUAGACAGCUUACUAAGCUUUAACUGACGCUGAGGCACGAAAGUGUGGGGAUCAAACAGG
This 253-nucleotide ribosomal RNA is filed under the name uncultured bacterium. RNAcentral's name for it is "partial 16S ribosomal RNA". It matches the Rfam family "Bacterial small subunit ribosomal RNA", at positions 524 to 776 of the family's 1533-position model. The record is from RNAcentral.